CCUAUCACGAUUCAUAAUCAUAAUUUAAUAAUCAUAAUUCAACCAUCUGAUCAAUUGAAAGUCUUUUUGUGUGUGAUCCCAUAGGUUCUAUUUUGUUUGAUAGUGAGAUAUAUUAUGAUCCCUAUCACAAUAUCAUUGAAACUCUUUUCAAUGGGUUGGAAUCAUUCCAAUUGUGCCCAUCAAAGAUCAUCGAUCAUCAAGAGGAUGCUUGUGGGUCUCACAAUCCACUAGUGACAUCUAGCAGUAUGUAGUGGCAAUCCAGCAGAAUAAAAAGUGAUGAAUCUCUAGGUGUAGUUAAUGUAUAAUACAAUCCUUCUAUCAUGUGUCCCGACCAGAUGACAGAUCAUGGAUAAAUCAUCAAAUCUCAUCAUCGGUCAUAUGAUAGAUUCAAUUAGCUCGAGUCCAUAUGUGAUUAUCAUGAAAAUUCUUUUUCAUUAAUCAUACUGUUAUGGCCAUAGACUUAAAGACUCAACUUUUUAAAUCCUAUAGGACUACUUUCUUCUGUUAGGAUCGAUACAUUCCAUCUAGGUGCACACCCUACUCUUAUAGUGGAUCAACUAUCACCAACAUCCACUAUAAGGGCUCAUUGAGAUCUAUAUUUAUGUGUCAGUUAAACUCCAGCAGUCCACUGCGAGCAGCUGUAAUACCACAGGUCAAAGAAUCAGUCAUACAACUGCAGCAUCGAGAAAGUCACUAACGAGUGAGCAGACAUCCAUGUGACUUCUCGUGUUGGUCAUGCUCAGUGUUAGUUAUUCUCUAACAACCACAUACACUCUCGCUCUAAUGUCCCUAUACUGCAGACUCGAGAUCCAUUUGCCCAAAGGAAGUGAUUUGUGCACUGGUCUAUUUGGAUCAAUCACCAUCUCCAUGAUGAUCCUAUGAUCAGGAGUAAUUUAAGAAUUAACUUUUUGGAUGAUUCAUGGAUAUAUAAAAUAUGAAUAGUAAUAUAAAUAUUCAUAAAGUAUAAAAAUAUAUCCUAAAAAUAUAAUAUGCAUCAGCCAAGAUUGGCUUCUAGGGCAUAUAUUCAAUAUUUGGAAGAUUAUGUUUUGUUUUAGGUUACUUUAUUGAACUCGAGCUAGCCUAUGCCACUAAGUUAGUCAUAACCAUUAUGACUAAUUAAAGAAUAGACCUAAAUUAUAUUUUUCUAAUAAAAUAUUAAGUAUAGUGGUCUUUCACCGUUGUAGCUGUGCAUGCUCUUUUCGGGAUUGAUUAUUCUCAAUUGGAUACAGUGGUUCAAUUGCACUGAAAAGAUGCAACUAUGACUAUUAAGCAUGAGAUGCUGUAGAGUGGAGAUGGAGUUGGACUCAAUAUUUUGGAUACGGUGAAAGUCUCAAUGACAGAUUCAUUUCGUGCAAAUGGUGGAUCUGACUUAACUAAGGAGUGGGCCAAUAUUCUGGACACAGUGAGGCUUCAUAAAUUAGAGACCGAAGAUGGCGGUAUCAUGUUUGGAGAAUCAUUGAUAAGAGUUAUCCACUUAUUGGUCGAUCCAUCAUCAAUAACUGUUAGGUGAGAUGAUGAGUCAAUUUGUGAGACCGCAGCACCCACUAAAAAUUUUUGAUCAUGGAGGUUUUCGUAUCUCUAUUCGGAGAGUGUG
This 1594-nucleotide long non-coding RNA is filed under the name Elaeis guineensis (African oil palm). Its description in RNAcentral is "long non-coding RNA (EGUI_LNC047214)". The record is from RNAcentral. Lineage: Eukaryota; Viridiplantae; Streptophyta; Magnoliopsida; Arecales; Arecaceae.